AAUAUUGCGCAAUGGACGGAAGUCUGACGCAGCGACGCCGCGUGAGCGAUGAAGGCCUUCGGGUCGUAAAGCUCUGUCCUUGGGGAAGAAGGUCUUCGGACUUGACGGUACCCAAGAAGAAAGCCCCGGCUAACUACGUGUCAGCAGCCGCGGUAAUAUGUAGGGGGCGAGCGUUGUUCGGAAUUACUGGGUGUAAAGGGGGAGUAGGCGGCCCUUUAAAGUAGGUGUUAAAGGCCAAGGCUUAACCGGUGGAUUGCAAUUGAAACUGGGGGGCUUGAAGGUUGGGGAGGGUAGUGGAAUUCCCAAUGUAGCGGUGAAAUGCGUAAGUAUUAAGAGGAAAACCCGGGGCGAAGGCGACUAACUGGGCUGGAUCUGACACUGAGGUGCGAAAGCGUGGGGAGCAAAC
Molecule: ribosomal RNA, 406 nt
Filed under: uncultured bacterium
Lineage: Bacteria
Description: partial 16S ribosomal RNA
Rfam family: Bacterial small subunit ribosomal RNA
Source: RNAcentral